This 498-nucleotide ribosomal RNA is filed under the name uncultured bacterium. RNAcentral describes it as "bacterial SSU rRNA". It matches the Rfam family "Bacterial small subunit ribosomal RNA", at positions 791 to 1283 of the family's 1533-position model. The record is from RNAcentral.
UAGUCCACGCCGUAAACGAUGAGAACUAGAUGUCGGGAGGGUUUUGCCUCUCGGUGUCGCAGCUAACGCGUUAAGUUCUCCGCCUGGGGAGUACGGUGGCAACACUAAAACUCAAAGGAAUUGACGGGACCCGCACAAGCGGUGGAGCAUGUGGUUUAAUUCGAUGCAACGCGAAGAACCUUACCUGCCCUUGACAUUGACAGAACCCUUUAGAGAUAGAGGGGUGCUUCGGCCUGGAAAACAGGUGCUGCAUGGCUGUCGUCAGCUCGUGUCGUGAGAUGUUGGGUUAAGUCCCGCAACGAGCGCAACCCUUGUCCCUAGUUGCCAGCACAUAAUGGUGGGAACUCUAGGGAGACUGCCGGUGACAAACCGGAGGAAGGUGGGGAUGACGUCAAGUCAUCAUGGGCCCUUACGGGGUAGGGGCUACACACGUGCUACAAUGGGUCAGGUACAGAGGGGUUGCGAAGCCGCGAGGGUGGAGCUAAUCUCACAAAACUG